GUCUACGGCCAUACCACCCUGAAUGUGCCCGAUCUCGUCUGAUCUCGGAAACAACACAAGGGAACACUGAGAAGCUUAAAAUGAAAAGGAAGGAGAGGGAGAAGCGGCCUGAGUCC
Molecule: ribosomal RNA, 116 nt
Organism: Ochotona princeps (American pika)
Lineage: Eukaryota; Metazoa; Chordata; Mammalia; Lagomorpha; Ochotonidae
Source: Ensembl